AACGAACGCUGGCGGCAUGCCUAACACAUGCAAGUCGAACGAUUGCCUUCGGGUGAUAGUGGCGCACGGGUGCGUAACGCGUGGGAAUCUGCCCUUAGGUUCGGAAUAACAGCUGGAAACGGCUGCUAAUACCGGAUGAUAUCGCGAGAUCAAAGAUUUAUCGCCUGAGGAUGAGCCCGCGUUGGAUUAGGUAGUUGGUGGGGUAAAGGCCUACCAAGCCGACGAUCCAUAGCUGGUCUGAGAGGAUGAUCAGCCACACUGGGACUGAGACACGGCCCAGACUCCUCCGGGAGGAGGAGGGGGGAAAUAUUGGACAAGGGGCGCAAGCCUGACCCAUCAAUGCCGGGGGAGUGUGGAGGGCCCUGGGGUUGAAAAGCUCUUUUCCCCGGGAAGAUAAUGACUGUACGGGGAAAAAAAGCCCCGGCUAACUCCGUG
RNAcentral lists this ribosomal RNA (435 nucleotides) under uncultured bacterium. RNAcentral describes it as "partial 16S ribosomal RNA". It matches the Rfam family "Bacterial small subunit ribosomal RNA", at positions 29 to 507 of the family's 1533-position model. The record is from RNAcentral.